This 756-nucleotide ribosomal RNA is filed under the name uncultured bacterium. Its description in RNAcentral is "bacterial SSU rRNA". It matches the Rfam family "Bacterial small subunit ribosomal RNA", at positions 8 to 796 of the family's 1533-position model. The record is from RNAcentral.
AGAGUUUGAUCAUGGCUCAGAAUCAACGCUGGCGGCGCGCUUAACACAUGCAAGUCGAACGAGAAAGGGGAGCAAUCCCUGAGUAAAGUGGCGUACGGGUGAGUAACACGUGGGUAAUCUACCUUUUGGUGGGGAAUAACCCUGGGAAACCGGGGCUAAUACCGCAUAAGCCUGAGAAGGGAAAGGCGAAAGUCGCCGAAAGAGGAGCCCGCGGCUGAUUAGCUAGUUGGUGGGGUAAAGGCUCACCAAGGCGAAGAUCGGUAGCCGGCCUGAGAGGGCACACGGCCACACUGGCACUGAAACACGGGCCAGACUCCUACGGGAGGCAGCAGUGGGGAAUCUUGCACAAUGGGGGGAACCCUGAUGCAGCGACGCCGCGUGAGUGAUGAAGCCCUUCGGGGUGUAAAGCUCUUUCGGCAGGGACGAUAAUGACGGUACCUGAAGAAGAAGCUGCGGCUAACUACGUGCCAGCAGCCGCGGUAAUACGUAGGCAGCGAGCGUUGUUCGGAGUUACUGGGCGUAAAGAGUGCGUAGGCGGUUUUCUAAGUUUGGUGUGAAAUCUCCCGGCUUAACUGGGAGGGUGCGCCGAAGACUGGGAGGCUAGAGUAUGGGAGAGGUAAGCGGAAUUCCUGGUGUAGCGGUGAAAUGCGUAGAUAUCAGGAGGAACACCUGCGGUGUAGACGGCUUACUGGACCAUAACUGACGCUGAGGCACGAAAGCGUGGGUAGCAAACAGGAUUAGAUACCCUAGUAGUCC